Molecule: ribosomal RNA, 422 nt
Filed under: uncultured bacterium
Lineage: Bacteria
Description: partial 16S ribosomal RNA
Rfam family: Bacterial small subunit ribosomal RNA
Source: RNAcentral
GUGGGGGAUAUUGCACAAUGGGGGAAACCCUGAUGCAGCGACGCCGCGUGAAGGAAGACGUACUUCGGUAUGUAAACUUCUAUCAGCAGGGAAGAAGAUGACGGUACCUGACUAAGAAGCCCCGGCUAACUACGUGCCAGCAGCCGCGGUAAUACGUAGGGGGCAAGCGUUAUCCGGAUUUACUGGGUGUAAAGGGAGCGUAGACGGUGAAGCAAGUCUGAUGUGAAAACCCGGGGCUCAACUCCGGGAUUGCAUUGGAAACUGUUUUACUUGAGUGCUGGAGGGGCAAGCGGAAUUCCUGGUGUAGCGGUGAAAUGCGUAGAUAUCAGGAAGAACACCGGUGGCGAAGGCGGCUUGCUGGACAGUAACUGACGUUGAGGCUCGAAAGCGUGGGGAGCAAACAGGAUUAGAACCUGUAGUCC